CGACUUUUUGAAGAUCGACUUUUCUCUCCAAGCAAAAGUCGAACACACAUUCCAAGAAAAGUCGAACACUCCAGGAUGGUGGUAACUCGAAGCACUUCCCAGGGAGGAGGAGCAAAUUCUCAGGAGGCGCCAGGGCAACAGCCUGGCAACUCAAAAACUAAAAGGCCAGUGGGUCGACCACCUAAGGCCAAUAAAAACAAAAGGACUCCCACAGGACCUGAGACUGAACCCGAAGGUGAACCCGGGCAAACUCCCCAAGCGUCAGCAGGAGGGGAAAAUCUGAAC
RNAcentral lists this long non-coding RNA (285 nucleotides) under Zostera marina. RNAcentral's name for it is "long non-coding RNA (ZMAR_LNC000968)". The record is from RNAcentral. Lineage: Eukaryota; Viridiplantae; Streptophyta; Magnoliopsida; Alismatales; Zosteraceae.